GACGAACGCUGGCGGCGUGCCUAAUACAUGCAAGUUGAGCGAUGAAGAUUGGUGCUUGCACCAAUUUGAAGAGCAGCGAACGGGUGAGUAACGCGUGGGGAAUCUGCCUUUGAGCGGGGGACAACAUUUGGAAACGAAUGCUAAUACCGCAUAACAACUUUAAACAUAAGUUUUAAGUUUGAAAGAUGCAAUUGCAUCACUCAAAGAUGAUCCCGCGUUGUAUUAGCUAGUUGGUGAGGUAAAGGCUCACCAAGGCGAUGAUACAUAGCCGACCUGAGAGGGUGAUCGGCCACAUUGGGACUGAGACACGGCCCAAACUCCUACGGGAGGCAGCAGUAGGGAAUCUUCGGCAAUGGACGAAAGUCUGACCGAGCAACGCCGCGUGAGUGAAGAAGGGUUUCGGAUCGUAAAACUCUGUUGGUAGAGAAGAACGUUGGUGAGAGUGGAAAGCUCAUCAAGUGACGGUAACUACCCAGAAAGGGACGGCUAACUACGUG
This 497-nucleotide ribosomal RNA is filed under the name uncultured bacterium. Its description in RNAcentral is "partial 16S ribosomal RNA". It matches the Rfam family "Bacterial small subunit ribosomal RNA", at positions 28 to 507 of the family's 1533-position model. The record is from RNAcentral.